Molecule: ribosomal RNA, 253 nt
Filed under: uncultured bacterium
Lineage: Bacteria
Description: partial 16S ribosomal RNA
Rfam family: Bacterial small subunit ribosomal RNA
Source: RNAcentral
UACGAAGGGUGCUAGCGUUGCUCGGAAUUACUGGGCGUAAAGCGCACGUAGGCGGCUUUUUAAGUCAGAGGUGAAAUCCUGGAGCUCAACUCCAGAACUGCCUUUGAUACUGGAGAGCUUGAGUCCGGGAGAGGUGAGUGGAACUGCGAGUGUAGAGGUGAAAUUCGUAGAUAUUCGCAAGAACACCAGUGGCGAAGGCGGCUCACUGGCCCGGUACUGACGCUGAGGUACGAAAGCGUGGGGAGCAAACAGG